This 387-nucleotide ribosomal RNA is filed under the name uncultured bacterium. RNAcentral describes it as "bacterial SSU rRNA". It matches the Rfam family "Archaeal small subunit ribosomal RNA", at positions 339 to 726 of the family's 1478-position model. The record is from RNAcentral.
GCGCGAAAACUUUACAAUGCUGGCAACAGCGAUAAGGGAACCUCGAGUGCCAGGUUACAAAUCUGGCUGUCGAGAUGCCUAAAAAGCAUUUCAUAGCAAGGGCCGGGCAAGACCGGUGCCAGCCGCCGCGGUAACACCGGCGGCUCGAGUGGUAACCGUUAUUAUUGGGUCUAAAGGGUCUGUAGCCGGCCGGAUAAGUCUCUUGAGAAAUCUGGCAGCUUAACUGUCAGGCUUUCAGGAGAUACUGUCUGGCUCGAGGCCGGGAGAGGUGAGAUGUACUUCAGGGGUAGGGGUGAAAUCUUGUAAUCCUUGGAGGACCACCAGUGGCGAGAGCGUCUCACCAGAACGGACCUGACGGCAAGGUACGAAAGCUAGGGGCACGAACCG